This 493-nucleotide ribosomal RNA is filed under the name uncultured bacterium. RNAcentral's name for it is "partial 16S ribosomal RNA". It matches the Rfam family "Bacterial small subunit ribosomal RNA", at positions 32 to 507 of the family's 1533-position model. The record is from RNAcentral.
AACGCUGGCGGCAUGCCUAAUACAUGCAAGUCGAGCGAACAGACGAGGAGCUUGCUCCUCUGACGUUAGCGGCGGACGGGUGAGUAACACGUGGAUAACCUACCUAUAAGACUGGGAUAACUUCGGGAAACCGGAGCUAAUACCGGAUAAUAUAUUGAACCGCAUGGUUCAAUAGUGAAAGACGGUUUUGCUGUCACUUAUAGAUGGAUCCGCGCCGCAUUAGCUAGUUGGUAAGGUAACGGCUUACCAAGGCAACGAUGCGUAGCCGACCUGAGAGGGUGAUCGGCCACACUGGAACUGAGACACGGUCCAGACUCCUACGGGAGGCAGCAGUAGGGAAUCUUCCGCAAUGGGCGAAAGCCUGACGGAGCAACGCCGCGUGAGUGAUGAAGGUCUUCGGAUCGUAAAACUCUGUUAUUAGGGAAGAACAAAUGUGUAAGUAACUAUGCACGUCUUGACGGUACCUAAUCAGAAAGCCACGGCUAACUACGUG